UAUAUGUAUUUAAACACAUUAUUAAUUAUUUGUGGAAGUAUUAAUUUUUCUACAGUCUAUAGUUUUGAAGAGGCGAGGCCCUCAGGCUCCCCUUCUGGAUCCAUCAUUAGUAGUAUAUAUACACCAAAUUAAUCCGUAAACCUAAAAAAAAAUUUCUCGACAAUUCAAACCAUAUCCAAACGAUAUCUGCAGAAAAUCGACGCGAUCAAUACUUACGUCGAUUUAAAACUUGAACGUUUGAAGACUUCAACUCGGAAAAUAACAAUUAUUAUUAUCUCUGUAUUGUAUACAACAUGUAAACAACAUGA
Molecule: non-coding RNA, 308 nt
Organism: Cinara cedri
Lineage: Eukaryota; Metazoa; Arthropoda; Insecta; Hemiptera; Aphididae
Source: the annotation of a GenBank genome assembly